Molecule: small RNA, 61 nt
Filed under: Euglena gracilis
Lineage: Eukaryota; Euglenozoa; Euglenophyceae; Euglenales; Euglenaceae
Description: Eg-m-Orphan16 box C/D-like small RNA
Source: RNAcentral
UGAUGAUCACCCCCACCGCCCCCGAGUUCCGAAUCCAAUGCUGGACGUCACCCUUGGCUGA